This 449-nucleotide ribosomal RNA is filed under the name uncultured bacterium. RNAcentral's name for it is "partial 16S ribosomal RNA". It matches the Rfam family "Bacterial small subunit ribosomal RNA", at positions 29 to 523 of the family's 1533-position model. The record is from RNAcentral.
AAUGAACGCUGGCGGCAUGCCUAACACAUGCAAGUCGAACGAAGGCUUCGGCCUUAGUGGCGCACGGGUGCGUAACGCGUGGGAAUCUGCCCUUGGGUUCGGAAUAACAGUUAGAAAUGACUGCUAAUACCGGAUGAUGUCGUAAGACCAAAGAUUUAUCGCCCAAGGAUGAGCCCGCGUAGGAUUAGCUAGUUGGCGGGGUAAAGGCCCACCAAGGCGACGAUCCUUAGCUGGUCUGAGAGGAUGAUCAGCCACACUGGGACUGAGACACGGCCCAGACUCCUACGGGAGGCAGCAGUGGGGAAUAUUGGAAAAUGGGCGAAAGCCUGAUCCAGAAAUGCCGCGUGAGUGAUGAAGGCCUUAGGGUUGUAAAGCUUUUUUACCCGGGAUGAUAAUGACAGUACGGGGAGAAUAAGCUCCGGCUAAUUUCGUGCCAGCCGCCGCGGUAA